AGUGAACGCUGGCGGUAGGCCUAACACAUGCAAGUCGAACGGCAGCACAGUAAGAGCUUGCUCUUACGGGUGGCGAGUGGCGGACGGGUGAGGAAUACAUCGGAAUCUACUUUUUCGUGGGGGAUAACGUAGGGAAACUUACGCUAAUACCGCAUACGACCUACGGGUGAAAGCAGGGGAUCUUCGGACCUUGCGCGAUUGAAUGAGCCGAUGUCGGAUUAGCUAGUUGGCGGGGUAAAGGCCCACCAAGGCGACGAUCCGUAGCUGGUCUGAGAGGAUGAUAAGCGACACUGGAACUGAGACACGGUCAAGACUCCUACGGGAGGCAGCAGUGGGGAAUAUUGGACAAUGGGCGCAAGCCUGAUCCAGCCAGACCGCGUGGGUGAAGAAGGCCUUCGGGUUGUAAAGCCCUUUUGUUGGGAAAGAAAAGCAGCAGGUUAAGACCCCGCUGUUCUGACGGUACCCAAAGAAUAAGCACCGGCUAACUUCGUG
This 492-nucleotide ribosomal RNA is filed under the name uncultured bacterium. RNAcentral describes it as "partial 16S ribosomal RNA". It matches the Rfam family "Bacterial small subunit ribosomal RNA", at positions 29 to 507 of the family's 1533-position model. The record is from RNAcentral.